Molecule: long non-coding RNA, 548 nt
Filed under: Homo sapiens (human)
Lineage: Eukaryota; Metazoa; Chordata; Mammalia; Primates; Hominidae
Description: HSALNT0384804
Source: RNAcentral
CUUCUAAAGAUUAAAAAAACCCCUACGAUUAAAAACCUCAGGUCCCUCAGGCAAUCAUACCAGAUAUUGAAACAAAGCAAUAACAUAAGGACUGCAGUAUUCAUUUUAUUUUUAUAUUAUUUAUUUAUUCUUCCUUAGUUUCUUGAGAUUAUCAUCCGCUGAGGGUGGAAGGGGAGUGAGCAGACACACUCAGGAGGUGUCUUGAGAUUAUCAUCCGCUGAGGGUGGAGCUGAGGGUGGAAGGGGAGUGAGCAGACACUCGGGAGGUGUCUUGAGAUUAUCAUCCGCUGAGGGUAGAGCUGAGGGUGGAAGGGGAGUGAGCAGACACUCGGGAGGUGUCUUGAGAUUAUCAUCCGCUGAGGGUGGAAGGGGAUAGAGCACACACUCGGAAGGUGUCUUGAGAUUAUCAUCCGCUGAGGGUGGAAGGGGAUAGAGCACACACUCGGAAGGUGUCUUGAGGCUCAGGGAGUUAUCAAUUAUAGAAUGUUGUUGAGUUGGAGGAGGUGGCUGGUGGCCCAUCCUGUUUUUUAAAGUUUCAGCUGUGAGGUA